GAUAAAAAGACCACAAGAACUAAUAAUAGAAUUAAAGAUCUACUAAUAAUGCUUCCCAUAAUAUAUUAUGAUCAACGACCUCCAGCCCCAUUGAAGUGGGAAUAAAAUAUUAUAUAUUAUAAUCAUACAUUGCAUUUAUCUAUUGUAGGCCUAACAACCGCAAAAACCAAACCUUUCUGCGUUUUUUUUCAAUUUUGACCAAACCUUU
RNAcentral lists this unclassified non-coding RNA (208 nucleotides) under Hevea brasiliensis (rubber tree). Lineage: Eukaryota; Viridiplantae; Streptophyta; Magnoliopsida; Malpighiales; Euphorbiaceae. The record is from RNAcentral.